AGUAAAAGACUCCAGUGCAUUUACCCGAGAAAAUCUUUUGUCUUUUACUAAAGAUUUCCGUCCAAUGGAGCAAUGAGUAUUUACACAUUUUUGCAUCUCCUCGAAAGAGCGGG
Molecule: small nuclear RNA, 113 nt
Filed under: Angiostrongylus costaricensis
Lineage: Eukaryota; Metazoa; Nematoda; Chromadorea; Rhabditida; Metastrongylidae
Description: U5 spliceosomal RNA
Rfam family: U5 spliceosomal RNA
About the family: U5 RNA is a component of both types of known spliceosome. The precise function of this molecule is unknown, though it is known that the 5' loop is required for splice site selection and p220 binding, and that both the 3' stem-loop and the Sm site are important for Sm protein binding and cap methylation.
Source: Rfam by way of RNAcentral